RNAcentral lists this ribosomal RNA (393 nucleotides) under Enoplometopus antillensis. RNAcentral's name for it is "partial small subunit ribosomal RNA". The record is from RNAcentral. Lineage: Eukaryota; Metazoa; Arthropoda; Malacostraca; Decapoda; Enoplometopidae.
ACUUAGAAAUAAAAAGUUAAACUUGAAUAUUAAUAGCUAUCUUCUUUAAAAUCAAAGAAUUUGGCGGUAAUUUAGUCUCGUUAGAGGAACCUGUUUUAUAAACGAUAAAUCACGCAAAAUCUUACUUAUUUUUGUAAAUAUCAGUUUGUAUACCGUCAUUAUUAGAUAAUUUUGGAAAAAAUAAUUAUUAGGAUUAAUUUUUUAAAACUUAAAUAUAUUAGAUCAAGGUGCAGCUUAUAAAUAAGUAAAAAUGGGUUACAAUAAUAUUUAAUUAAAUGGAUGACAAGAAGAAUAAAUGUUUGAAGGUGGAUUUAAUUGUAAAGGUAGUUCAAUAAGCUAUUUUGAUAUAAGUUCUAAAUUAUGUACAUAUCGCCCGUCGCUUUCAUUUAUAGU